Molecule: ribosomal RNA, 283 nt
Filed under: uncultured bacterium
Lineage: Bacteria
Description: partial 16S ribosomal RNA
Rfam family: Bacterial small subunit ribosomal RNA
Source: RNAcentral
GUGGAUUAGAUACCCUAGUAGUCCGCACUGUAAACGAUGAUUACUCGCUGCUGGGAGGUAACUUUCAGUGGCUUAGCGAAAGCGAUAAGUAAUCCACCUGGGGAGUACGCCGGCAACGGUGAAACUCAAAGGAAUUGACGGGGGCCCGCACAAGCGGAGGAGCAUGUGGUUUAAUUCGAUGAUACGCGAGGAACCUUACCAGGGCUUGAAAGUUAGUGACCGCUUCUGAAAGGAAGCUUUCCGCAAGGACACGAAACUAGGUGCUGCAUGGUCGUCGCCAGCC